GGAAUCCCGCCUGAGAAGGCUUAGCCAGCCACUCAGUAUCUAGCCUUGGGACUGAAGCGGUAACGCCAGGUCUAAGCGUAGGCAAGAAAGGUAGUAGGCCGAAAGCGAAAGCUGAAGAUGUAGAGCCCCGAAAUCCCCAAAUGGGUUGGUCGAUGCCUUAGAACCAGCAGAAGACAACACUGAGUUUAGCGAUAAAAGGCAAGCUAAAUUCAGCGCCCCGGGGUCAAAGGUCU
Sporomusa sp. An4 is the source of this 233-nucleotide non-coding RNA. Lineage: Bacteria; Bacillati; Bacillota; Negativicutes; Selenomonadales; Sporomusaceae. The record is from Rfam.